Leopardus geoffroyi (Geoffroy's cat) is the source of this 405-nucleotide long non-coding RNA. RefSeq lists it as uncharacterized. The record is from RefSeq and is a predicted model, not a curated record. Lineage: Eukaryota; Metazoa; Chordata; Mammalia; Carnivora; Felidae. The transcript is spliced from 3 exons.
AUCAUCCUGAACAUAGGGAAAUACAGCACUGAAGAAACACGGUUCUAUGAUUUGCAAUUGAUCACAAGUUAUUAGGGAAGAUAGACAAGAAAACUAACAAGUUUGAAACAGCCACUCCACUGACAGCAAAAGAAGAAACAGAUUUAAUUUGAAUUUUGUAUAAUUCAAGACUGAUGACCCAACAGAAUAUUCAGGGCAUGCCUUCCUUUCAACAUGAAUAUCGUACAAGAAUAUUUACCGAAGCACACACAUGACGGCAAAAACAAAGCAAAUCACAACAAAGCCCUACAAAAUUGGAAACGAAAUUAGCGCCCAUCAAUCAAUAAUGUCUGAAUCUACUUUGGUGUAUCACCACUGCUGAAUACAAGACAAAUAAGAAAGCGUACCGUAACAAAUAGAACCAAG